Molecule: RNA transcript, 1398 nt
Organism: Perognathus longimembris pacificus (Pacific pocket mouse)
Lineage: Eukaryota; Metazoa; Chordata; Mammalia; Rodentia; Heteromyidae
Gene: Rsrp1
Gene name: arginine and serine rich protein 1
Exons: 5
Source: RefSeq, a predicted model, not a curated record
GACGUCGAAGGUGGCGGUUGUGCGCUCACUCGUCAGGAGCGCCCCGGAGCAGCCCCUCCCCGUCCGCGCUCCGAGAGGAAGGCGUCCGCCGCGGCUUUCUCUCCGUCUCGAGGGCGGCGUCCGCGGCCCGCAACGCCGGCUUGUGUGCGGAAGGCCGCGGCCGCCAUGCCUAACUACGUGAACGACCUGUGGCCCGGCUCCCCCCAGGACCAGGCGUCGCCCUCCACCUCGCGGUCCCGGAGCCGCUCCACGUCCCGGAGCUCCGCGCCCGGCUCCCGCGCCUCGAGCCGCUCGUCGUCCCGGAGUCGCAGCCGGCCCCGGCCUCGGCGCCACAGCCGCUCGCGCUCGCGCUCGCGCCGGCGUCAGCAGCGGAAGUACCGGCGCUAUUCGCGCUCGUACUCGCGCAGCCGCUCGCGCUCGUACUCGCGCGGCCGCCGCUACCGGGAGCGCUACCGGGAGCGCUACCACGAGCGCCCGAGGCCGCACCGCCACUCCCGCAGCCGCUCGCGCUACGGCCGCUCGCGGGCCGACGACGCGCUGGUGCCGGGACGGCGCCGCUACGGCUUCGGCCGCACCCGGUACCCGGAGGAGCGCCCCCGGUGGCGAGCGCGGUCCCGGAGCCGAUCGCGGAGCAGGACCCCCUUCCGGCUCACCGAGAAAGAUCGAAUGGAGCUGUUAGAAAUUGCAAAAGCUAAUGCAGCAAAAGCUUUGGGAACAACGAACAUUGACUUGCCAGCCAGCCUCAGAACUAUUGGUAUAGCCAAAGAAAAAAGUCGUGGAACAGCCAUGCCAAGUGGGGCAAAGUUCGAGGUAAGUUACUCUAGUUUUAUUAGGAUAAAUCCAUAGAAAGCUUACUGCCAGGAAGACCCGACUUAGCCAUUUUUAAUUUACCUUGUACUAUCAAGUCUGAUUUGCCAAAAACAAAGCAAAUUUGACAAAUGGCAGUCACACCCAUGAAGUUGGGAGGUAAUGAACUUUAUUUUCAGUCACACUGUAUUAGUACUUUCAUAAGAACACAAUAUAUUGUUGCUGGUACUUUAGUGAUGUCUUAUUAUCAUCAAAUUUUUUCUUACUCUGGUCUUUAUAGACCAAGAGUAUUUUACCUGUAUCUUUCAAUUUCCACAUUGUGUUCCCACAAGUCUGUGCUCAACAUACAGUAUAGUUUAUCUGCUUUAUUUCUGUCUUAUAGAAAUCAUGAAUGUGGUCUCCAGACAAUGAUGAAGAAAAUCUGUUGCUGUCAGAAAAACAAAUGGAAGAUGGAACUAAAAGUCUCAGUGAAAAAUCACCACAGCGAAGAAACAUAGCUUUUAGUGCUAAUAAUUCUGUUGCAAAGCCAAUACAGAAAACAACUAAAGCCGCUGCUGAAGAAAUAUCUUCAGGACUGCCAAAGAUAGAUAA